This 484-nucleotide ribosomal RNA is filed under the name uncultured bacterium. RNAcentral describes it as "partial 16S ribosomal RNA". It matches the Rfam family "Bacterial small subunit ribosomal RNA", at positions 30 to 507 of the family's 1533-position model. The record is from RNAcentral.
AUUGAACGCUGGCGGAAUGCUUUACACAUGCAAGUCGAACGGCAGCACGGGGGCAGCCCUGGUGGCGAGUGGCGAACGGGUGAGUAAUACAUCGGAACGUGCCCGGUCGUGGGGGAUAACGUAGCGAAAGUUACGCUAAUACCGCAUACGAUCUGAGGAUGAAAGCGGGGGACCUUCGGGCCUCGCGCGAUCGGAGCGGCCGAUGUCAGAUUAGGUAGUUGGUGGGGUAAAGGCCUACCAAGCCGACGAUCUGUAGCUGGUCUGUGAGGACGACCAGCCACACUGGGACUGAGACACGGCCCAGACUCCUACGGGAGGCAGCAGUGGGGAAUUUUGGACAAUGGGCGCAAGCCUGAUCCAGCCAUUCCGCGUGCAGGACGAAGGCCUUCGGGUUGUAAACUGCUUUUGUACGGAACGAAAAGGCUCUGGCUAAUACCUGGGGCUCAUGACGGUACCGUAAGAAUAAGCACCGGCUAACUACGUG